This 750-nucleotide long non-coding RNA is filed under the name Homo sapiens (human). Its description in RNAcentral is "HSALNT0208711". The record is from RNAcentral. Lineage: Eukaryota; Metazoa; Chordata; Mammalia; Primates; Hominidae.
CAGGCUGGGAGCUGUAGACCGGAGCUGUUCCUAUUCGGCCAUCUUGGCUCCUCCCCCACCCCCGUAUUAUCUUAAAAAUUACAUUGGAAAUGGAUGGGGAGAAGGCCUGAUGAAAAUUACUGAGGAAGCCUCUUAGCCUAUGUGCUCUGAGAGUAGUGACACCUAGCAGUCGUUCAAAAGAUGAUCAAGAGGAGCAUGAAAAAAUCCCCUGAAUCCAUUGGCUUUCUUCCCUAUACUGACAACAGUUUACUUGUGUAAGAGAUGCAUGCCUCGACUCCGGACCCCUUCUUUCAUCUGCAAAAUCAGCAGCACCCUCACAUCAUCUCCUGUAACAAACUCUCUCUGUCUCCUCCAUAUAAGGUCACUGAUGGUUACAUUUAGGGUCCAUGAUAUAAGUCAAGUUGGUGUGUAUCUGCAAAGGCGAUGGAAAGGAGUUCUUACAUAUGCAUAUUCUGAAGAAGGAUGUUACCCUUACUGAAAAACUUAUUCCAAGAUAUGUUUAAUCAAUCAUGAGAAAAAUAAAGAGACAUCCUUAUGAAUGGAGAAUAAAGUCCUCAGGGUUUUUUUCUAAUUCCCCAUGUGAAUGAAGAGCUGUGUUAUUCUAAAUAUAGUGUUUGUCAUAAGGCAAUUGUGUUGGUUUGAGUCCUUAGUCGCUGUGACACUGAUAGAAUUCCUAUCUCCAAUUGGAAGGUAAGUUGACCUUGCCUCACUUUUGGGCAUUUACAAAGUAAAAGUGUCUUCAUAUUCCAG